Molecule: non-coding RNA, 1303 nt
Organism: Agelaius phoeniceus (red-winged blackbird)
Lineage: Eukaryota; Metazoa; Chordata; Aves; Passeriformes; Icteridae
Source: RefSeq, a predicted model, not a curated record
CAUGGAAGAAUUCAGGUUGCAAGGGGCUCUAAAGAUCACCUCAUUCCAAGGCUGCUGCCGCCGUGGGCAGGGACGUGCUUCCAUAGAGCAGCUUGCUCAGAGCCUCAUCGCAGAGCACCGACGGGCCUUGAGCACUUGCAGCGAUGGGGCAGCCCCAGGACCUCUGAGCAACCUGUGCCCUGUGCCAGCCGGGUGCCAGAGGAGGAAGGAAGCCCUUCCCACCUGGAGCAGAGGCUGCGUAGCCUUGUGUCACCGAGCGUGUGAGACAGAAAGGCCCUUCCUUUCUGGAGGGGUAACAACACUCAAAGCUCUUUCUCGGGACAAGCCGAGCAAUGGAAGGCCAAAGUAGCCUUCAGUUCUUCCAGCAGCUUUGGGAACAACUUGAAGGAGGAGCAGAGCUGGCCUGGUGCCUGCCGGCUCUGCAGGCAGUGGGCAUGGCGAAGCUGCAGCUGCAUCUGUCUUCUUGGCUGAGGCUUUAUAAAUGAGGCGCUUUUCUGUAGUUCCUUUUCAGGCAUGACGUGCAAGUUGCCCCUAGAAGUCCAAAGGCAGCUGUUUUCUUAGCAGAAGGAAGUCAGGAGGAGGCAAAGCCAGCAGCUAAGUCUGGAUAAAAAACUUGGCUAACCUCUUUUCCCCCCCUCCUCCAAACAGGCAAUUGUGAAGCACUCAGCAGAGAUCUGCCCGGGAGGAAAAGCAGAGCCAAUCUCUGAGAAGAAGGGACGUGCGAGCUCUGGCGAGGACGGCUGCUCCCCCUGGCCUUGGUGUGGGACCUCCUGAGCUGCCAUUCCUGUGGUGGGAGUGUUCCUCCUCUCCUCCGGCCAAGCCAGAGACCGCCUAGGGAAGGAGCAGAGUGCAGCCGCCCAAGAAGGGAUUUUUUUGGCUCAGCCAGAUGUGCUCCCGCCUCCCACCGAGACGCUGAGACGGAGCUGAGUUUGCCUUCCAAUGUCUUGGAACAGAGGUUCAUGGGAAGUUUUCUCAGCUAUCUAAGGCACGGAGCCCUGGAGCCAAGUCAGCCUGAGCUGCUGCGUGCUUGCUGUGAGCCUUGAGGGCAGGACAGCGUUCAGACUGAAAGUGUAAGAAGAUGUGGAGUGAGACAGAAUCUGACAGGAGCACCGGACUCACAAGUGCAUGAAUUUUGCUUUUUGCUUGGAUUCAAACUCGGAAGUUGUAAGGAAUUUGGGAAGGAGAAGGGACAUUUCAGAAGGAGAAGAAGAAAAAGAAGUUGUUGUUUUUACAGCCCUGGCAAAAUCUUUGGUUCUAGCUAAUAAAGGAAGCUAGUUGAAAUAAAAAAAAAGAAAAAAAUGGG